AAAGAGAAACAAGUUAAUUUAAGUUAAAAGAGCUAGCCAGGCAUUCAAAACUAAUAAGUCUCUGUGUCAUGAUUUGGAACUGGUGGGUGGCCCCAAGGAAAGAAGCCUGGUACACCUUCCCUCCAAUCAACUCCUGCCCCCACCCUGUGCUCUGGAGGCUCCUGCCAUUGUCCAGGAUGUGAGUCACGCCAUUGUCUAGAAUGUCCAUGCUGUGUACACUGCUCGCCAUCUAGUCACCUAGUAGCUGACAGUGGAGACUGCCACAGUGCCACAGUGCUUGUGUUCAGGAGACCACUGAUGUCAUAGUCCAACACUGCCGCAAUGCUUACGCUGUGUGCCUCUCUACAACUCACCGUACAGGCAUGACGUCAGCCGGUAUCUCAGAAGGUGGAAAGGGAGUUCAUGGGUUAUUUAGAAUUCUGGCAUGGUGUCUCCUGAGGUUUCCAUGGUGGUCUGUCAUGGCUGGAAGAACCUGAAGAUGAAGGUGGUACCUGCAGACCCUUGGCAGCACCCCACCUCCACACCACCCCUCCCCGACAUACACCGGAAAAGCUUGGAGCCAAUGCCAGCUUGUCUCUCUUCGUCUGCUCCCGGGAGAGCCAUGUCCUCGCUCAUCUGGAACUUUCAAUUAACCAGGCACCAGGCUCCAGCUCAGAGGCUGAACAAAUGUUCCAGGGAGGGGAGAAAAAUCCAGCCCCAAAGCACUGGGAGGACAUUUCCUUUUAAUUAAAGUGAGAAUUAAGGCAGCUCUGAAACCCAUUCUGUGCUAUCCACCAUGGCCUAAAAGUGGUUUCCAAGAAUCGCCACCCUGCCCUGUUGACUUACCUCAUCACUGCCCUAACUGAGCACAACCCGGGAUGUGAUGAUGCAGCUCUAUGAGAGCCCCAGGGUGAGGGCAAGAAACGUGUGGGAACUAGAGGGCAAGCAAGAUCGGAAGUGGACAGAGGCUACAAUCUUGGAUUUGGACAAAGAAACUUGAUCCUCAGACACUGUUAUAAUUGGGCUCAAUGGUCAUCACCAUCUAAUCAAAGUUAUUUUCCAGUUGCAGAGGCAACACAUCCCCAGUAAUGCAGCACUAACCAGUAUUCACACACCAUACAUUAUCCUUUGUGAUGGAAAAGAUACAAAAUAGAGUUUACCAAAGCUCCUUGUCUGAAGGAUCUACACCCAAAGUCAUGCAUGUCUGUGAAAUCAUACAUGUUCUAUGCACUCCAACUCAGUACAAAACAAAUGUCAGUCAACAGCAUGGCAUUAAAGGGGCCUAGCAUUCUUUUACCUACAUAGAAAACAUCAAAACAAGAUGAAAACUACUAGAAUCAAGUAGAAUAUACACAAAAAGGACAUGGAUUAGAGAGAUGCAAGCCUGAGUACCUGAGUUUGAUUCCCCAGGACCCACAUGUAAAAGCUGGACAUAGCAUUUGUCUGAAGUACCAGUUCUGGGUGGGUAGAGACUGGCACAUCCCUAGGGCAUGCUAGCCAGCCAAUCUAGCUGAACCUAAAAACUCCAGGUUCAGUGAGAGACCAUGUCUCAAAGAAUAAAAUGGAAAACAGUUGAGGAAGACCAGGCCUCCAGAUGUACACACUUACGUAUAUGCAGCCGCCUGAAUAAACACCCACACAUAAAUGCAGGAAAGUAGGAAGGUGUGGGGAACUUAAUGAAUAUGCAUCGUUAUUUGGCUUUGUGAUGUUUACAGUGUUUGCUGUUUUUAAAUCUCAAAACAUUGUGAUUUUUAAAACAAAUUCUAAAUAUUC
Mesocricetus auratus (golden hamster) is the source of this 1752-nucleotide RNA transcript. RefSeq lists it as uncharacterized. The record is from RefSeq and is a predicted model, not a curated record. The transcript has 4 exons. NCBI's taxonomy places the organism in Eukaryota, Metazoa, Chordata, Mammalia, Rodentia, Cricetidae.